CUCCAAAGUCACUGAAACUCAUAAAGGAGAUUCUUAUAGGAUAUAGAAAUAGUGUCGAAAUUUUAAUUAUAAGUAAACAAUUUUUCAUUAUUACAAAAUGGAGUUGGUCACUUUUAGAAUCAUAGAAGAAAUCAUCAUUCUCUUCUUCUAUAUCGACUAUUUCAUCACCAUUGAAGGCACCUGCGGCAACAACGUCCGCUCUUUUUAGUCUCUCCAUGCGUUCGAUGGGAAACUCUAUUCUUAGAUCAGAUGUCGUAGUCACCGUUAAGACUCGUGCUUUCGUUUAUGGUGCAGUGUUAUGCUUAGAAAGCGGAUCCUCUCAGAAAAGAGGAAAACGCGUUUAAUGUCCGGGGUGUCGUGUACGUUACACC
This 371-nucleotide long non-coding RNA is filed under the name Brassica napus (rape). RNAcentral's name for it is "long non-coding RNA (BNAP_LNC019110)". The record is from RNAcentral. Lineage: Eukaryota; Viridiplantae; Streptophyta; Magnoliopsida; Brassicales; Brassicaceae.